This 1204-nucleotide ribosomal RNA is filed under the name metagenome. RNAcentral's name for it is "bacterial LSU rRNA". It matches the Rfam family "Bacterial large subunit ribosomal RNA", at positions 1707 to 2925 of the family's 2925-position model. The record is from RNAcentral.
UAGGAACUCGGCAAAAUUACCUCGUAACUUCGGAAGAAGAGGUACCCCUUCACGGGGGUUGCAAUAGAUUGACCAUGGCGACUGUUUACCAAAAACACAGGUCUCCGCUAAUUCGUAAGAAAAAGUAUGGGGGCUGACGCCUGCCCAGUGCCGGAAGGUUAAAGAAGUUGGUUAGUCCUUGGACAAAGCUAGCGACUGAAGCCCCGGUGAACGGCGGCCGUAACCAUAACGGUCCUAAGGUAGCGAAAUUCCUUGUCGGGUAAGUUCCGACCCGCACGAAAGGCGUAACGAUCAGGGUACUGUCUCGGAGAGAGGCUCGGCGAAAUAGACAUGUCUGUGAAGAUGCGGACUACCUGCACCUGGACAGAAAGACCCUAUGAAGCUUUACUGUAUCUUGGAAUUGGGUUUGGUCUUUGCAUGCCAGGAUAGGUGGGAGGCUUUGAAGAUGAUCUUUCGGGGUCGUUGGAGCCACUGGUGAGAUACCACCCUUGCAAUGAUAAAAUCCUAACUUUGAACCGUUAUCCGGUCAAAGAACAGUUUCAGGUGGGCAGUUUGACUGGGGCGGUCGCCUCCUAAAAGGUAACGGAGGCGUGCAAAGGUUCCCUCAGGCUGGUUGGACAUCAGUCGUAGAGUGUAAAGGCAUAAGGGAGCUUGACUGCGAGACCAACAUCGAGCAGAGACGAAAGUCGGCCUUAGUGAUCCGGCGCUUCCGAGUGGAAGGGGCGUCGCUCAACGGAUAAAAGUUACUCUAAGGAUAACAGGCUGAUCUCCCCCAAGAGUUCACAUCGACGGGGAGGUUUGGCACCUCGAUGUCGGCUCAUCGCAUCCUGGGGCGGUAGUACGUCCCAAGGGUUGGGCUGUUCGCCCAUGAAAGCGGUACGCGAGCUGGGUUCAGAACGUCGUGAGACAGUUCGGUCCAUAUCCGGUGCAGGCGUUAGAGUAUUGCGAAGACUCCUCCUUAGUACGAGAGGACCGGGGGGAAUGCACCUCUGGUGUACCAGUUAUCGUGCCAACGGUAAACGCUGGGUAGCCAAGUGCAGUUUGGAUAACUGCUGAAAGCAUCUAAGUAGGAAGCCAGCUUCAAGAUGAGUACUCUCACCGCUUCAAGCGGGUAAGAUCACGGCAAGAACAGCCGUUUGAUAGGCAUCAAGUGUAAGUGCAGUAAUGUAUUCAGCUGAGAUGUACUAAUAGAUCGAGGGCUUAU